UACGGUGGGUGCGAGCGUUGUCCGGAAUCAUUGGGCGUAAAGCGCACGUAGGCGGUUCGUUAUGUCGGAUGUGAAAGCCCUUGGCUUAACCGAGGAAGUGCAUCCGAAACUGGCGAGCUAGAGUACUAAAGAGGAUCGCGGAAUUCCCGGUGUAGAGGUGAAAUUCGUAGAUAUCGGGAGGAACACCGGUGGCGAAGGCGGCGAUCUGGGUAGAUACUGACGCUGAGGUGCGAAAGCGUGGGGAGCAAACAGG
RNAcentral lists this ribosomal RNA (253 nucleotides) under uncultured bacterium. RNAcentral describes it as "partial 16S ribosomal RNA". It matches the Rfam family "Bacterial small subunit ribosomal RNA", at positions 524 to 776 of the family's 1533-position model. The record is from RNAcentral.